CAAAGGGUAGUAUAACAAAUACCUUUUGUUUACACCAAAAAAUUGGCUUAUAGCCCCCUUUGACCA
RNAcentral lists this transfer RNA (66 nucleotides) under Tchangsinaia piscicula. RNAcentral describes it as "tRNA-Val". Lineage: Eukaryota; Metazoa; Mollusca; Bivalvia; Unionida; Unionidae. The record is from RNAcentral.